GAACGUAAGUGUGUGAGGAUAUUGUUGCGGAGUGACGAGUAUAAUUGUAUCAUAGUUUAUGGAGAAAAACAAUUUAAAAGGGACGUUCAACGCGCUGUCAAAUCAGUCAUAUUUAAACUUGCGCAAUGACGUCGGCAUGUGGUCGCGGAGGAAAACGUAAAUUUUGGGGGGAAUAUUUUAGCAGCAUGGGCGAUAAUUAGAGGAUCAAAGAGAAAUUAAGGUCCUCACAUGGUGCGAAACCAACUUUUUCCAUGUCAAACUUGGACAGCGGCUGUCCAUGACACACAUGACAACAUCAUCUUCUAGUGGCGUAGAGCUCCACUCCACAGAAAAUACUGUAAUAAAGGAACUGGAAGAAGAGCCCUUUCGCUUUGUGGCCUUUAAAAUCAAAGGUGAACAGGUGGAGCUUGUGGACGCCACCAAUGCCACCAGAAUGGUUCCAUUAGAGGAGUGGAACCAAAAAUUCCCAGAUGGCCCUAAUCUUCCCCUAGAGCAGUGCUUCUCAAUUAUUUUCUGUUACGCCCCCCCCUAGCAAGAAGAAAUCUAUUCGCGCCCCCCCCUCCCCACCGUGACUAUCCUAACUUGUCUUGUAAGUUGUAAAAUGUUGCACAUUCGCAAACGUGACAGAAGUAACAAUGAGAGCGCCACUGCCCCCUGCUGUAGUAAACCCGCAAUUACACUUUAUUCUAGUACUGCCAAAAAAAAAGCCUGUUCCCCAGGGUCACGCGCGCCCCCCCAGGAAUAGCAAGGGGGGCGCGCCCCACUAUUUGAGAAGCACUGCCCUAGAGGGGUUUUUGUGGUAUUUUUUUUUUUGUUCUGUUAUUUGUAUUUUGUGUUGUUUGUUCUGUUUAAAAUGUUCUACUAUUAAAGUUUAAAGUUAAAGGCACAAAAUAAUAAUUGUUUAUUUUAUUCAUUUUUAUUAAAUUAUGAUAAUAUAUUUCACCACUUCAUCAACAUCUGCCCCCUAUAGAGACCACCCUCAGAGGCCGGCCUCUUCGACUUGCAACCAGAGAUGCUGGCGUGGCUCCACGACACCAAGUUGGAACACUGACGUUACACGUGAGAGAGAGAGAGAGAGAGAGAGAGGCAACGUCAUCCGCCGAAUUAGGUGACCCAGUUUAUUAUUUUGUUUAUAGCAAAUACAGUCGCAAAUAUAUUGUUUCAAUGUGUAGUUAAUGGUAUUAAUGUAUAGUAUAUGAUUUUAAUCUAUUUUAAUCUAUAGUAUUGGUAUUUUACCCAUGCCUUAUUUCGGGAUAUUUGUAACUUCUGCUGUCUUUAUCUUAGUAUUCUGGAAUACUAUGGUUUAUUUCGAAAAUGUUUCUCAGAUGUCGCAUGUUUUCCCAUUCUAGAUUGAUAGAUAGAAUUUACGGUAGCGUUCUUUGGCCUGCUGUCCAAAGAACAUAGAAAACAAUACGGAAUGCGAUCAUCUCAUGUGCGGUGGCACCACAAAGUAGAUUGCAGAAGUUAACUCAGCAGCAUGGACGCGUUCCAGGCAGUUACUGCGACCGCAAGAGAGUAAGUAUUACUAAAAAGAAGCACACAAGUUUCCAACUUGCCGAGUGGACAGUGAAGCAGAAAAUAGAUUUGUCAAAAAGUGUGAGGAAAAUAUGCACUGUCUGCCGACUCACAUUUUCCAUAGUCCAUGUGGAACUGACUCACCUUAAGCAACACGGUGGACACGAACGAAAAAACGCACAACUAAGCAAGGGGGAACCUGGACAGAUCCAUUAGGCAACGACAAAGAUGAUUAUCCAGACAUCCCCAACGUCAAAGCAGCAGUAUUUUUGUCCUCAGCAUCCUUAUUUUCCACAAAGGUUUCUACAUUUUUCAACCGAUUCAACCCAUUCCAACUUUCAACUGUUCAUCUUUUGCCCACCUAUUCCACAACUUCCCACUUACCAAAUAUUCCAAACUUUCAAUUUUGAAAUUCACCACAAAUUCUCCAAAUAUUCUACAUCUCUCAAGUAAUUCAACACGUUUCAACAUCGCUCGGCAGCAUUCCCCGAAAAAGUUAUUCAUACAUUUCGCCUUCACACGCAAUUUCUCCAGAAAUUGCAAAAUUCUAGU
This is a long non-coding RNA of Syngnathus typhle (broad-nosed pipefish), 2067 nucleotides long. RefSeq lists it as uncharacterized. Lineage: Eukaryota; Metazoa; Chordata; Actinopteri; Syngnathiformes; Syngnathidae. The transcript is spliced from 4 exons. The record is from RefSeq and is a predicted model, not a curated record.